Molecule: RNA transcript, 1862 nt
Organism: Vigna unguiculata (cowpea)
Lineage: Eukaryota; Viridiplantae; Streptophyta; Magnoliopsida; Fabales; Fabaceae
Gene name: histidinol dehydrogenase, chloroplastic-like
Source: RefSeq, a predicted model, not a curated record
UUUAUCACGCGUGGAAUGCACGCGCACGAGAAGGGAAGAGUGAAGUUUGAAAUUAAACUAGGCAAAAUUAAGUAAAGAGAAGAAAAGAAGGGUUUGGUUUGCGUUGUGGUUGGUGGUCACUGAUCUUGCUUGAGUGGGUUAUUAUGAAGUCGUAUAGAUUGUCAGAACUGGACGACACUGAGCUUCGUAGCCUAAUUGCUCGUCCUCGUAUCGAUUUCACUUCUGUUUUCUCUCUGGUCAACCCCAUUCUUGACCAUGUUCGACAAAGAGGCGAUGCUGCUGUCAAAGAAUAUACUUUGAGAUUCGACAAAGUUCAAUUGGAUGACAUUGUUCAACUUGUCGCCGACCUUCCAGAUCCACUGCUUGAUGCGCAUGUUAAGGAAGCUUUCGAUAUCGCCUACAGCAAUAUAUAUGCCUUUCAUGCUGCUCAGAGGACUCCAGAAACAAAUGUUGAGAACAUCAAAGGAGUCCAAUGCAAGCGAGUUUCAAGAAGUAUUAAUACUGUGGGCCUUUAUGUUCCAGGGGGAACUGCUGUACUACCUUCAACAGCCCUGAUGCUUUCAGUUCCUGCACAGAUUGCUGGAUGUAAAACUGUCGUUCUUGCUACUCCUCCAGCUCAGGAUGGCACUAUAUGCAAGGAGGUAGUGUAUUGUGCAAAGAAGGCAGGGGUUACUCACAUCCUCAAAGCUGGAGGAGCUCAGGCCAUAUCUGCCAUGGCUUGGGGAACUGAAACUUGUCCCAAGGUUGAGAAGAUUUUUGGCCCGGGAAACCAAUAUGUCACAGCUGCAAAAAUGAUUCUGCAAAACAGUGAAGCCAUGGUUUCAAUAGACUUGCCAGCCGGUCCAUCCGAAGUUUUAGUUAUUGCUGACAAGCAUGCGAUACCUCGUCAUGUAGCUGCCGAUUUGCUUUCCCAGGCUGAGCAUGGCCCUGAUAGUCAGGUUGUGCUUGUGAUUGCUGGUGAAGGCGUGGAUUUGAAUGCUAUAGAGGAGGAACUCAGCAAGCAGUGCCAGAGUCUACCAAGAGGAGAGUUCGCUGCUAAAGCCCUGACCCACAGUUUUAUUGUUCAUGCACAUGAUAUGCUUGAGUCAAUCAAUUUCUCAAACUUAUAUGCACCUGAGCAUCUAAUUGUCAAUGUGAAGGAUGCAGAGAAGUGGGAGGGUUUUAUUCAGAAUGCAGGGUCUGUAUUUUUAGGGCCGUGGACACCUGAGAGCGUUGGUGAUUAUGCAAGUGGGACAAAUCAUGUCCUUCCCACUUAUGGUUAUGCAAGGAUGUAUGGUGGUGUUUCAUUGGAUUCUUUCUUGAAAUACAUAACAGUGCAAUCUCUCACAGAAGAAGGCCUCAGAAAACUUGGGCCAUAUGUAGCAACCAUGGCAGAAGUUGAAGGUCUCGAUGCCCACAAGCUGGCAGUUACCCUAAGACUUAAGGACAUAGAAGGCAGGCAGGUUUCAUCAUGACAUGAUAAUUUACGAGUCGUCGUUGAGUUUCUGGAGGGAUCGUAUGGGAGAAAGUGAACUGUGCUCAAGAGCUUUGAUACCAUAUUUGAAAGCUAGAAUUCAGAGAAACUGAAGUGAAAAAACGUUGGACCAUGGUUUUCUGUUAAGGAUGAUGGGUAAAAGUUUUGGCAAGUCCUAAUGUGAAGGGAAUGAUGACCAAAUAAAGAAACAUCCAAUAUGUAGUAGCGAGUUAAACAGCCGUUCAUGGUCUCUUGGACACAAAACCUCCUCUGCUCUCAACAAGAGCUUUUUCCUUCUCUGGAUCAUGGUCCACAGUAAGUGGGUUUGCUCGACCAUUUUUGCAUGAUAUUGCUCUAGAAUCACCAACAUUGGCUACCAGUAGCUUUACUCCAUUGACUAAUAUUGCUG